CAGUCGCCGCGGUAAUACGGAGGGAGCUAGCGUUGUUCGGAAUUACUGGGCGUAAAGCGCACGUAGGCGGCUUUGUAAGUUAGAGGUGAAAGCCUGGAGCUCAACUCCAGAAUUGCCCUUAAGACUGCAUCGCUUGAAUCCGGGAGAGGUGAGUGGAAUUCCGAGUGUAGAGGUGAAAUUCGUAGAUAUUCGGAAGAACACCAGUGGCGAAGGCGGCUCACUGGACCGGCAUUGACGCUGAGGUGCGAAAGCGUGGGGAGCAAACAGGAUUAGAUACCCCGGUAGUCCCUGUCUCUUAUAC
This 301-nucleotide ribosomal RNA is filed under the name uncultured bacterium. RNAcentral describes it as "partial 16S ribosomal RNA". It matches the Rfam family "Bacterial small subunit ribosomal RNA", at positions 509 to 807 of the family's 1533-position model. The record is from RNAcentral.